RNAcentral lists this transfer RNA (73 nucleotides) under Streptococcus pneumoniae K2557. RNAcentral's name for it is "tRNA-Glu". It matches the Rfam family "tRNA". From Rfam's summary of the family: Transfer RNA (tRNA) molecules are approximately 80 nucleotides in length. Their secondary structure includes four short double-helical elements and three loops (D, anti-codon, and T loops). Lineage: Bacteria; Bacillati; Bacillota; Bacilli; Lactobacillales; Streptococcaceae. The record is from RNAcentral.
GGUCCGUUGGUCAAGGGGUUAAGAACACCGCCUUUUCACGGCGGUAACACGGGUUCGAAUCCCGUACGGGACU